Molecule: long non-coding RNA, 1171 nt
Organism: Lycium barbarum (goji berry)
Lineage: Eukaryota; Viridiplantae; Streptophyta; Magnoliopsida; Solanales; Solanaceae
Exons: 3
Source: RefSeq, a predicted model, not a curated record
CCUUUGGAAAGCUUCACAUAGAAAUUGUGAAUAUGAGUUCCUCUUUUCAUGGAAAUGAAUCGGAACUGAAGCAGUUCCAUUCUUGGAAAAUAUACAUAGGCAAUAAAGUGUAUUGUUAAUGAUUUCACCUUCCAGUAGGGAUCGUGAAGCGCUAAAUAGCGACAUAAAAUUUAUGUCAACGUUGGUAACGUGAUUGUAACAUUGGCUUCCUCCGGAUGUUAGCAAAUUUGGAAUUUCUUCAAGGCGAAGUAAUAUGGAAGAAGAGUAUAUCUUGGCAUAUAAGGCUAAAGGAGCGACGAGACGAACGAGUUACGAAUAGCCGCUAACAGGUUCCCGAGCCGGUUCUGUUAUCGUGCGCGCUUUGAUAUACUCCGGAGUUAUGCUGUGUUUAUGGUUCACCGAGCUACUCGCAAAAGAGGGUCGGGUUCCACAUAUAUUUGGUGUUAUGCUGUGUAUGGCGUUAUGUUGUGAUGUGAUAUGUGACGGGGAUACGGAGAUUUGAAACCUUCUGGUGUUAUGCUGUGUUAUAGCGCCAUCGACGGGCGGGCGACCAUAUUCUUCUGUACCUUAUGCAUGACUUAUAUUUUGAAAGUAAACAUUUUGAUAUGUUGGAUUUAUACUUAUGUUCUGUACUACUAUUUCGUUUAUGCCUCAGAUUUGUUCCUGUACUUUCUGCUUUGCAUACUCAGUACAUAUUUCGUACUGACCCCCUUUCUUCGGGGGGGCUGCGUUUCAUGCCCGCAGGUACAGACGCACAGUUUGGUGAUCCACCAGUUUAGGACAUCCUCUUCUGCUGUUUGGAGUGCUCCUCUUAUUCCGGAGCCUACAUUUUGGUAUAUAUACUUGUUUGAUGCAUAUGUAUAUAUUUGUUCAGGGGUACGGCGGGGCCCUGUUCUGCCAUAUGAUCCGUUUGGUCUGUUUAGAGGUCUGUAGACGUAUUUGUGGGUGUGUGUGCCUACUUCUGUUCAGAUGUGUUUGUAUGAUCCUAUUCGCUAUGGCAGCCUUGUCGGCGUGCAUUUGUAUAUGUUUUGGGCCGUUGUGCCAUUUGAUAGCCUUGUCGGCUUUUGAUACAUUCGAUAGCCUUGCCGGCUUUUUGAUAUAUGUAUAUGCAUAUGGUUGUGUUUGAAAUAUGUCUAAGACAGUUUGAUAUAAUUUGAGGCAGCGUGUGAUA